RNAcentral lists this ribosomal RNA (434 nucleotides) under uncultured bacterium. RNAcentral's name for it is "partial 16S ribosomal RNA". It matches the Rfam family "Bacterial small subunit ribosomal RNA", at positions 27 to 507 of the family's 1533-position model. The record is from RNAcentral.
GAACGAACGCUGGCGGCAUGCCUAACACAUGCACGUCGAACGAGACCUUCGGGUCUAGUGGCGCACGGGUGCGUAACGCGUGGGAACCUGCCCUUAGGUUCGGAAUAACUCCCCGAAAGGGGUGCUAAUACCGGAUAAUGUCUUCGGACCAAAGAUUUAUCGCCUUUGGAUGGGCCCGCGUUGGAUUAGCUAGUUGGUAGGGUAAAAGCCUACCAAGGCGACGAUCCAUAGCUGGUCUGAGAGGAUGAUCAGCCACACUGGGACUGAGACACGGCCCAGACUCCUACGGGAGGCAGCAGUGGGGAAUAUUGGACAAUGGGCGAAAGCCUGAUCCAGCAAUGCCGCGUGAGUGAUGAAGGCCUUAGGGUUGUAAAGCUCUUUUACCCGGGAUGAUAAUGACAGUACCGGGAGAAUAAGCUCCGGCCAACUCCGUG